RNAcentral lists this ribosomal RNA (201 nucleotides) under uncultured Actinomycetales bacterium. RNAcentral describes it as "partial 16S ribosomal RNA". It matches the Rfam family "Bacterial small subunit ribosomal RNA", at positions 135 to 334 of the family's 1533-position model. The record is from RNAcentral. Lineage: Bacteria; Bacillati; Actinomycetota; Actinomycetes; Actinomycetales.
UCUUUGGGAUAACGCCCGGAAACGGGUGCUAAUACUGGAUAUUCACUGGUCUUCGCAUGGGGGUUGGCGGAAAGGGUUUUUCUGGUGGGGGAUGGGCUCGCGGCCUAUCAGCUUGUUGGUGGGGUGAUGGCCUACCAAGGCUUUGACGGGUAGCCGGCCUGAGAGGGUGACCGGUCACAUUGGGACUGAGAUACGGCCCAG